RNAcentral lists this unclassified non-coding RNA (310 nucleotides) under plant metagenome. RNAcentral's name for it is "partial contains 5.8S ribosomal RNA, internal transcribed spacer 2, and large subunit ribosomal RNA". The stretch from base 1 to 105 matches the Rfam family "5.8S ribosomal RNA", at positions 50 to 154 of the family's 154-position model. The record is from RNAcentral.
GAAAUGCGAUAAGUAGUGUGAAUUGCAGAAUCCAGUGAAUCAUCGAAUCUUUGAACGCACAUUGCGCCCCUUGGUAUUCCAUGGGGCAUGCCUGUUCGAGCGUCAUUUGUACCCUCAAGCUCUGCUUGGUGUUGGGUGUUUGUCCCCGUCUCCGCGCGUGGACUCGCCCCAAAGUGAUUGGCAGCCGGCGUACUGGUCCCGGAGCGCAGCACAUGUCGCGCAAACGAGUGCCUUGGUACGGCGGCGUCCAUAAGCCCCUCUCUCACGCUCUUGACCUCGGAUCAGGUAGGGAUACCCGCUGAACUUAAGC